Neoarius graeffei (lesser salmon catfish) is the source of this 730-nucleotide long non-coding RNA. RefSeq lists it as uncharacterized. The transcript has 3 exons. Lineage: Eukaryota; Metazoa; Chordata; Actinopteri; Siluriformes; Ariidae. The record is from RefSeq and is a predicted model, not a curated record.
GCUUCUGUACCCCUCCAAAUGGAGAUUUUCCUGGAGCUGACUCCGAACGAAGGGGUUUGAGUGAUUUCCCACAAUGCCAUGCGGAUUUCAGCGAGAUUUCAUGCGGAUUUCAGAAAGAUGGUGGUUCCCGCGGCGAAAGAUUGUCAUAAAUGUAAGUAUUUUCUCCAUUAUUUACGUAAGUUGUUAUAACCGUUCUAUUACUACGUCAAUAGUGUUAACUAGCCUAUUAACGUUAACGUACUAUAACAUUAACGUUGUGUGAUCGGUUGAUGCAAUGAAAAUUGUGAACAAAGUUGUUAUUUAGCAGUUAGCUCAAGUAAUUACAAACAACAGAGGAUCUGCUUUUCUGUUGUGUCGUUACGUUAACCAGCUUCCCAUGCCUGUGUACUUGAACUAGGGAAUCCAGAGGAAACACGCCGCUUGAUUCGCUUUCGAGCUGAGAAUGAGCAGCGAUUUCUGAAAUCCAAAGCUGCUGCUAAAAAGCUUUGGGAGACGCUGAUCAAGGAGCUUGGCCUGGAGGGAAAGGUGACCUCCCAGCAAGCAUCAAAAAAGUGGGAGAACUUGAAAAAGAAGUAUAAGGAGCUGAAAAAUCCACUCUCUGGGAGUGGGACAGAUGAGGGCCAAACAACUGCGUGCACAUGGCAGUUUUUUGAGGACAUGCACGAGGUGUUGGGAUCCAGGCCAUCCAUUGACCCUCCAGUGGUAGUGGAAUCAUUUUGUCCUGAUGCUG